AUGGAACGUUGGCGGCGUGCCUAAUACAUGCAAGUCGAACGGAGAUUGUAGUAAUACGGUCUCAGUGGCGAACGGGUGAGUAACGCGUUGGUGACCUGCCCCGAAGUGUGGAAUAACAGAUCGAAAGAGCUGCUAAUACCGCAUAAUAUCCAGAAGAUUAGACGCUUUUGGAUUAAAGGAUUUAUUCGCUUCGGGAGGGGCCUGCGUCCCAUCAGCUAGUUGGUAAGGUAAUGGCUUACCAAGGCUAUGACGGGUAGGGGACCUGAGAGGGUGGCCCCCCACAAUGGAACUGAAACACGGUCCAUACACCUACGGGUGGCAGCAGUAGGGAAUAUUAGUAAUGGGCGAAAGCCUGAACUAGCAACGCCGCGUGUGCGAAGAAGGCCUUCGGGUUGUAAAGCACUUUUAGAGAGGAUGAGGAAGGACGGUACUCUCAGAAUAAGUCUCGGCUAACUACGUGCCAGCAGCCGCGUAAAAUCACGUGUA
Molecule: ribosomal RNA, 486 nt
Filed under: uncultured bacterium
Lineage: Bacteria
Description: bacterial SSU rRNA
Rfam family: Bacterial small subunit ribosomal RNA
Source: RNAcentral